GCGGCUUUGGUGGGGGAGGGGGUGGCCUUCAUCAUCAUCGUCAUCGUCAUCAUCAUCGUCAUCGUCGUCGUGGUGAUGGCGGCCUUCAUCCACCUGCGGUUGACCUUCAUCAUCGUCAUGGUGACGGUGGCCUUCAUCCACCCGGGCUUGACCUUCAUCAUCGUUGUCGUGGUGACGGUGGCCUUCAUCCACCUGCGGUUGACCUUCAUCAUCGUCAUGGUGAUGGUGGCCUUCAUCCACUCUUGGUUGACCUUCAUCAUCGUCAUGGUGAUGGUGGCCUUCAUCCACUCUUGGUUGACCUUCAUCAUCGUCAUGGUGACGGUGGCCUUCAUCCACCCUUGGUUGACCUUCAUCAUCAUCGUCAUGGUGACGGUGGCCUUCAUCCACCUGGGCUUGACCUUCAUCAUCGUCAUGGUGACGGUGGCCUUCAUCCACUCUUGGUUGACCUUCAUCAUCGUUGUCAUGGUGAUGGUGGCCUUCAUCCACCCUUGGUUGACCUUCAUCAUCGUCAUGGCGACGGCGGCCUUCAUCCACCCUUGGUUGACCUUCAUCAUCGUCAUGGUGACGGUGGCCUUCAUCCACCCUUGGUUGACCUUCAUCAUCAUCGUCAUGGCGACGGCGGCCUUCAUCCACCCGGGCUUGACCUUCAUCAUCGUCAUCCUCCCCGUCGCCGUGGUGACGAUGAUGAUGGUGGUGGUGACCCGGGGAGCCUUCGUCGCUCUGGUGAUGAUGAUGAUGAUGAUGAUGAAGGUCACUGGGGGAGCCUUCAUCCCUCUGGUGAUGAAGAUGAUGGAGGUGACCAGGGGAGCCUUCAUCCCUCUGGUGAUGAUGAUGAUGAUGGUGCUGAGGAUGAUGAAGGUCGCUGGGGGAGCCUUCCUCGCUCUGCUGAGGAUGAGGAUGGUCAGGGUGAGGAUGAUGAGGAUGAUGAGGAUGGGGGCCACCAGGGGAGCCUUCCUCGCUCUGCUGAGGAUGAGGAUGGUGCUGAGGAUGGUGAAGGUCGCCGGGGGAGCCUUCCUCGCGAUGAUGAUGAGGGUGAGGAUGAUGAAGGUGAGGAAGCUCCGGGGGCUCCCCCCAGGCCGCCCCCGCCCGGAGGAGCAGCAGCAGCAGCAGCACGGCCGGAGCCAUGAGUGACCACUGAGUGACCACUGAGUGACCACUGACCGACUGACCGCUGAGUGACCCCUGAGUGAUCAAUGAGUGACCCUUGAGUGACCCUGAGUGCCCAGUGACCAGUGAGUGACCAAUGGGUGACCCUGAGUGACCCCUGAGUGAUCAAUGAGUGAUCAAUGAGUGACCCUGAGUGACCCUGAGUGACCACUGACCAACUGACCGCUGAGUGACCCCUGAGUGACCAAUGAGUGACCCUGAGUGACCACUGAGUGACCCCUGAGUGAUCAAUGAGUGACCCUGAGUGAUCACUGAGUGACCCCUGAGUGAUCAAUGAGUGAUCAAUUAGUGACCCUGAGUGACCACUGAGUGACCACGGAGUGACCACUGACCGACUGACCGCUGAGUGACCCCUGAGUGACCCCGAGUGACCCUGAGUGACCACUGAGUGAUCAAUGAGUGACCACUGACCAACUGACCGCUGAGUGAUCAAUGAGUGAUCAAUGAGUGACCCUGAGUGACCCUGAGUGACCACUGACCGACUGACCGCUGAGUGACCAAUGAGUGAUCAAUGAGUGAUCAAUGAGUGACCCUGAGUGACCCUGAGUGACCACUGACCGACUGACCGCUGAGUGACCAAUGAGUGACCAAUGAGUGAUCAAUGAGUGACCCUGAGUGACCCCUGAGUGACCACGGAGUGACCACUGACCAACUGACCGCUGAGUGAUCAAUGAGUGAUCAAUGAGUGACCACUGAGUGACCCUGAGUGACCACUGACCAACUGACCGCUGAGUGACCAAUGAGUGAUCAAUGAGUGACCCUGAGUGACCCUGAGUGACCACUGAGUGAUCAAUGAGUGACCCUAAGUGACCAAUGAGUGAUCAAUGAGUGACCACUGAGAAGUGACCACUGAGUGACCACAGAGUGACCACUGACCGACUGACCGCUGAGUGACCAAUGAGUGAUCAAUGAGUGACCCUGAGUGACCACGGAGUGACCACUGAGUGACCGGUGCUGAGUGACC
This 2131-nucleotide long non-coding RNA is filed under the name Lonchura striata (white-rumped munia). Its description in RNAcentral is "domestica (Bengalese finch) lncRNA (ENSLSDG00000003048.1)". The record is from RNAcentral. Lineage: Eukaryota; Metazoa; Chordata; Aves; Passeriformes; Estrildidae.